UACGUAGGGGGCAAGCGUUAUCCGGAUUUACUGGGUGUAAAGGGUGCGUAGGCGGCUCUGCAAGUCAGAAGUGAAAUCUAUGGGCUUAACCCAUAAACUGCUUUUGAAACUGUGGAGCUUGAGUGAAGUAGAGGUAGGCGGAAUUCCCGGUGUAGCGGUGAAAUGCGUAGAGAUCGGGAGGAACACCAGUGGCGAAGGCGGCCUACUGGGCUUUAACUGACGCUGAGGCACGAAAGCGUGGGUAGCAAACAGG
This 253-nucleotide ribosomal RNA is filed under the name uncultured bacterium. Its description in RNAcentral is "partial 16S ribosomal RNA". It matches the Rfam family "Bacterial small subunit ribosomal RNA", at positions 524 to 776 of the family's 1533-position model. The record is from RNAcentral.